UAGUAGUAACCAAAUUUAGCCACCUACAACUUGGAUUUUCAUUUUAUCUUACCGUCGUCGCAGUCUGUAUAAUUCUUUUGCAGAAUGUGCUUUUGACAGUAUAAUUGUGUUCUUUCCCGUAAUAUAGAUGAAAAAUUUACAGUAUUGCUUGUCUACAGGAGGAAACAUACUUCUGGCGGAGGACUGUCUUUAAGCAUAUCGGAUUGAAGACGGAAACCCAAUAAAUGCUAUACUGUUGUCUUAGAACUUGUUAUUGAGUAUAUUUCAAUCCAACUUGUACACCUGAAACUCGAAGCUGAUAUUUAAAAAAUAAUAUGUAUAUGGGUGUCAAUAUAGCUUUGGAUACUACAGAGAGAACUAAAACAACGCAUGGGGACAUACGAAGUGUUGCU
Molecule: long non-coding RNA, 392 nt
Organism: Saccostrea cuccullata (small rock oyster)
Lineage: Eukaryota; Metazoa; Mollusca; Bivalvia; Ostreida; Ostreidae
Exons: 3
Source: RefSeq, a predicted model, not a curated record